GACGAACGCUGGCGGCGUGCCUAAUACAUGCCAGUUGAGCGAUGAAGAUUGGUGCUUGCACCAAUUUGAAGAGCAGCGAACGGGUGAGUAACGCGUGGGGAAUCUGCCUUUGAGCGGGGGACAACAUUUGGAAACGAAUGCUAAUACCGCAUAACAACUUUAAACAUAAGUUUUAAGUUUGAAAGAUGCAAUUGCAUCACUCAAAGAUGAUCCCGCGUUGUAUUAGCUAGUUGGUGAGGUAAAGGCUCACCAAGGCGAUGAUACAUAGCCGACCUGAGAGGGUGAUCGGCCACAUUGGGACUGAGACACGGCCCAAACUCCUACGGGAGGCAGCAGUAGGGAAUCUUCGGCAAUGGACGAAAGUCUGACCGAGCAACGCCGCGUGAGUGAAGAAGGUUUUCGGAUCGUAAAACUCUGUUGGUAGAGAAGAACGUUGGUGAGAGUGGAAAGCUCAUCAAGUGACGGUAACUACCCAGAAAGGGACGGCUAACUACGUG
RNAcentral lists this ribosomal RNA (497 nucleotides) under uncultured bacterium. Its description in RNAcentral is "partial 16S ribosomal RNA". It matches the Rfam family "Bacterial small subunit ribosomal RNA", at positions 28 to 507 of the family's 1533-position model. The record is from RNAcentral.